This 734-nucleotide ribosomal RNA is filed under the name uncultured bacterium. RNAcentral's name for it is "bacterial SSU rRNA". It matches the Rfam family "Bacterial small subunit ribosomal RNA", at positions 59 to 768 of the family's 1533-position model. The record is from RNAcentral.
AAGUUGAACGCUUGAUUUUCACCGAAGCUUGCUUCACCGAAAAUCAACAGUAGCGAACGGGUGAGUAACGCGUGGGUAACCUACCUUUCAGUGGGGGAUAACUAUUGGAAACGAUAGCUAAUACCGCAUAACAAUGUUGGAUGCAUAUUCGACAUUUGAAAGUACCAAUUGGUACACUGAGAGAUGGACCCGCGUUGUAUUAGCUAGUUGGUAGUGUAAUGGACUACCAAGGCGAUGAUACAUAGCCGACCUGAGAGGGUGAUCGGCCACAUUGGGACUGAGACACGGCCCAAACUCCUACGGGAGGCAGCAGUAGGGAAUCUUCGGCAAUGGACGAAAGUCUGACCGAGCAACGCCGCGUGAGUGAAGAAGGUUUUCGGAUCGUAAAACUCUGUUGUUAGAGAAGAACGUUGCAUAGAGUGGAAAAUUAUGCAAGUGACGGUAUCUAACCAGAAAGGGACGGCUAACUACGUGCCAGCAGCCGCGGUAAUACGUAGGUCCCGAGCGUUGUCCGGAUUUAUUGGGCGUAAAGCGAGCGCAGGUGGUUUAAUAAGUCUGAUGUAAAAGGCAGUGGCUCAACCAUUGUGUGCAUUGGAAACUGUUAGACUUGAGUGCAGUAGAGGAGAGUGGAAUUCCAUGUGUAGCGGUGAAAUGCGUAGAUAUAUGGAGGAACACCGGUGGCGAAAGCGGCUCUCUGGACUGUCACUGACACUGAGGCUCGAAAGCGUGGGUAG